UGGACCCUGGGGAUUUGAACCUACUGCAUCUGGACUGGGAGGAAAAUGCAGAAUGAAAAAGGGGGAUGUCUGGUUAAAAAAAAAAAAGGCACAGCCUGACACCGUGGCUAAAACAGUGCCACUUAGAUCUAGUUUCCCCUGUGCUAGAGUUUUCAUCUGGAAUGCCUCUCAAAGGCCCAUGUGUUAAAGGGGUGGUCCCCCAGCUGGGGGCGGUAGGGAGGUGCGGCCUAGUGAGAGGUCUUCAGAUAAUUGACGUGUACUCUUAAAGGGAAUAAUGGAACCUCAGCCCCUUCUUCUUCCUCUGUUUUCACUUGUCAGGCAUGAAGUGAGUGGGUUUGCUGCCUCACUGAAGCCAGAUUUAAAGAUAGGUAGUUAGUAUAGUUAGGUAAAUUGGUCUAAUAUUGAGUAAAGUAAAGAAAAUGGAGGCCAUUAUUGAGAAUGGAGUCCAGGAAAUCAGAGCAGCACUUGGGGAAAUUGAAAUGUUAAUGUCCCCAAGGCCCAGAACCCAUCCUAAGAAACUGUUAAUGAAACAGCUCCCAGCAAACAGGGAACUAAUCCAAAAACUGCCCCAGGCCCUUCCUGCCCAGAUUACUCCUCCAGCCCACUUAUCUCCCACCUGUUGAGCCUUCCUACCUGCAGACUAUCACUGCAGGAUAAAGGGAAACAAAGGACUUGGAUGUGGGGAAAGUAAAAGAAGACCUUAGCUAUAAAAGAGGGAAGGCCUCCCCCUCCUUUCAGGUUCUCUUCUUCUGGGGAGAAGUCUUUUCUGCUGUCC
RNAcentral lists this long non-coding RNA (775 nucleotides) under Marmota monax (woodchuck). Lineage: Eukaryota; Metazoa; Chordata; Mammalia; Rodentia; Sciuridae. The record is from RNAcentral.